This is a long non-coding RNA of Stomoxys calcitrans (stable fly), 418 nucleotides long. RefSeq lists it as uncharacterized. Lineage: Eukaryota; Metazoa; Arthropoda; Insecta; Diptera; Muscidae. The record is from RefSeq and is a predicted model, not a curated record. The transcript has 2 exons.
AAAAACUUCAACAAAAUAUCUUAAUUUACUUACACAUAGUUACGGCAAAUUUUCUGCAGCAACAAAUCCUAACCUACCCUAAAGAAAACCUCAAAAAUUUAUAUUUAAAAUGACAUAGAGGCAGCACUCCCAUCAUAUGUUUUACAAUCAAUUUCUUUUGCUUUAAAAUAUAUUAUCUAGAAAAAGUAAUAGGCGAAAAAUAUCGCGAACAGCGAAUAUGGUACCAUAUUUUGAAGAGCAAUAUGCACCUCCGGCGAAACUCUAAUUACCCUAUGUUUGGUACUCUAUUUCAUGUAAUUAUGUUAAAAAAAAAUUAUAUUUUGUUAAAGUUUUUCGCAACAAUUCCAAAAGUUUCUUUGAUUGAAUCUAAAUAAAAGUCGACUAGAUUUCAAUAAUCUCGGGUUCGGCAAGGAGUUUU